CGAUGACCAGGAUCUUCGCUCCCGUUAC
RNAcentral lists this small RNA (28 nucleotides) under Bombyx mori (domestic silkworm). RNAcentral's name for it is "piRNA piR-bmo-2116711". The record is from RNAcentral. Lineage: Eukaryota; Metazoa; Arthropoda; Insecta; Lepidoptera; Bombycidae.